GCCUACGGGGGGCAGCAGUAGGGAAUCUUCCACAAUGGGCGAAAGCCUGAUGGAGCAACGCCGCGUGGGUGAAGAAGGUCUUCGGAUCGUAAAACCCUGUUGUUAGAGAAGAAAGUGCGUGAGAGUAACUGUUCACGUUUCGACGGUAUCUAACCAGAAAGCCACGGCUAACUACGUGCCAGCAGCCGCGGUAAUACGUAGGUGGCAAGCGUUAUCCGGAUUUAUUGGGCGUAAAGGGAACGCAGGCGGUCUUUUAAGUCUGAUGUUAAAGCCUUCGGCUUAACCGGAGUAGUGCAUUGGAAACU
RNAcentral lists this ribosomal RNA (305 nucleotides) under uncultured bacterium. Its description in RNAcentral is "bacterial SSU rRNA". It matches the Rfam family "Bacterial small subunit ribosomal RNA", at positions 337 to 634 of the family's 1533-position model. The record is from RNAcentral.